This 285-nucleotide ribosomal RNA is filed under the name uncultured bacterium. RNAcentral describes it as "partial 16S ribosomal RNA". It matches the Rfam family "Bacterial small subunit ribosomal RNA", at positions 337 to 636 of the family's 1533-position model. The record is from RNAcentral.
GCCUACGGGAGGCAGCAGUGGGGGAUAUUGGCCAAUGGGGGGAACCCUGAUCCAGCGACGCCGCGUGAGUGAAGAAGUAUUUCGGUAUGUAAAGCUCUGUCAGCAGGGAAGAAAGAAAUGACGGUACCUGACCAAGAAGCCCCGGCUAACUACGUGCCAGCAGCCGCGGUAAUACGUAGGGGGCAAGCGUUAUCCGGAAUUACUGGGUGUAAAGGGAGCGUAGACGGUUAAGUAAGUCUGGAGUGAAAGGCCGGGGCCCAACCCCGGGACUGCUGUGGAAACUAU